This 549-nucleotide ribosomal RNA is filed under the name uncultured eukaryote. Its description in RNAcentral is "bacterial SSU rRNA". It matches the Rfam family "Eukaryotic small subunit ribosomal RNA", at positions 420 to 967 of the family's 1831-position model. The record is from RNAcentral.
GGAAGGCAGCAGGCGCGCAACUUACCCUAAUCUCGAUUCGAGGAGGUAGUGACAAGAAAUACCGAUGCGGGACCCUACGGGUGCCGCGUUCGGAAUGAGUACGAUUCGAACCACCUAACGAGGAACGAUCGGAGGGCAAGUCUGGUGCCAGCAGCCGCGGUAAUUCCAGCUCCAAUAGCGUACGUUAAAGUUGCUGCAGUUAAAAAGCUCGUAGUUGAACGUUCGGGUUCCGCGGGACGGGGCCGCCCCGCGAGGGACGGCGCCGCCCCGGGGCUCGUGAUAUCUUAUCUCGCCGCCCGUCGCGAGGCGGACGGAGGGAUGGAUGAGGUUACCUGGAAAAAAUCGGGGCGAUCUAGGCGGGCGAACCUCGCCAACGAACGAUCGGACAUGGGAUAACGGAAGAGGGCGUCGGCUCGACUUCGUCGGUUCCUCGGGCCCGAGGCACGUACGGUGAAUAGGGACGGUCGGGGCCGCCCGUACCGGGUCGUGAGAGGUGAAAUUCUAGGAUCGACCGAGACGAACUGCCGCGAAAGCAUUCGGCAAGGACGC